This 422-nucleotide ribosomal RNA is filed under the name uncultured bacterium. Its description in RNAcentral is "bacterial SSU rRNA". It matches the Rfam family "Bacterial small subunit ribosomal RNA", at positions 359 to 773 of the family's 1533-position model. The record is from RNAcentral.
GAAUAUUGGACAAUGGGGGCAACCCUGAUCCAGCCAUGCCGCGUGUGUGAAGAAGGCCUUUUGUUUGUAAAGCACUUUAAGCAGUGAAGAAGACUACAUCGUUAAUACCCAUGGAAGAUGACAUUAGCUGAAGAAUAAGCAUCGGCUAACUCUGUGCACGCAGCCGCGGUAAUACAGAGGGUGCAAGCGUUAAUCGGAAUUACUGGGCGUAAAGCGAGCGUAGGUGGCUUGAUAAGUCAGAUGUGAAAUCCCCGGGCUUAACCUGGGAACUGCAUCUGAUACUGUUAGGCUAGAAUAGGUGAGAGGAAGGUAGAAUUCCAGGUGUAGCGGUGAAAUGCGUAGAGAUCUGGAGGAAUACCGAUGGCGAAGGCAGCCUUCUGGCAUCAUAUUGACACUGAGGUUCGAAAGCGUGGGUAGCAAAC